AGUUACCUUUCCUAUUCCAUCGGUUUGAGGUCCAUCUGAAGGUUUUUUUUUUUUUUUUUUUGAUGUCAAAAAAAAAAAACCUUCAAAUGGACCUCAAACCGAUGGAAUAGGAAAGGUAACU
This 121-nucleotide microRNA precursor is filed under the name Brassica napus (rape). RNAcentral describes it as "pre miRNA MIR530". Lineage: Eukaryota; Viridiplantae; Streptophyta; Magnoliopsida; Brassicales; Brassicaceae. The record is from RNAcentral.